RNAcentral lists this ribosomal RNA (570 nucleotides) under uncultured bacterium. RNAcentral's name for it is "bacterial SSU rRNA". It matches the Rfam family "Bacterial small subunit ribosomal RNA", at positions 319 to 879 of the family's 1533-position model. The record is from RNAcentral.
UUAAUUCCUUUAAGUUUUUGUCUGUUGCCGCCCCCGCCCGCCUACGGGAGGCAGCAGUGGGGAAUUUUCCGCAAUGGGCGCAAGCCUGACGGAGCAAGACCGCGUGGGGGAGGAAGGCUCUUGGGUUGUAAACCCCUUUUCUCUGGGAAGAACAAAAUGACGGUACCAGAGGAAUCAGCAUCGGCUAACUCCGUGCCAGCAGCCGCGGUAAGACGGAGGAUGCAAGCGUUAUCCGGAAUGAUUGGGCGUAAAGCGUCCGCAGGUGGCAGUUCAAGUCUGCUGUCAAAGACCGGGGCUUAACUUCGGACAGGCAGUGGAAACUGAACAGCUAGAGUAUGGUAGGGGCAAAGGGAAUUCCUGGUGUAGCGGUGAAAUGCGUAGAGAUCAGGAAGAACCAUCGGUGGCGAAAGCGCUUUGCUGGACCAUAACUGACACUCAGGGACGAAAGCUAGGGGAGCGAAUGGGAUUAGAUACCCCAGUAGUCCUAGCCGUAAACGAUGGAUACUAGGUGUUGUCUGUAUCGAACCCGGACAGUGCCGUAGCUAACGCGCUAAGUAUCCCGCCCCUGGA